Molecule: small nuclear RNA, 164 nt
Organism: Tachyglossus aculeatus (Australian echidna)
Lineage: Eukaryota; Metazoa; Chordata; Mammalia; Monotremata; Tachyglossidae
Product: U1 spliceosomal RNA
Exons: 1
Source: RefSeq, a predicted model, not a curated record
AUAUUUAUUUCUAGGGGAAACACCCUGAUCAUAUAGGUGGUUAUCCCAGAGAGAGGUUCAGUCAUUGCACUUCGGCUGUCCUGACCCCCGGGAUUUCCCCAAAUGGGGGGAUACACAACUACAUAUUUUGUAGUAGUGGGGGACUGCGUUCGCGCUCUCCCCUG